Molecule: ribosomal RNA, 1787 nt
Filed under: uncultured Acidobacteriota bacterium
Lineage: Bacteria; Pseudomonadati; Acidobacteriota
Description: bacterial LSU rRNA
Rfam family: Bacterial large subunit ribosomal RNA
Source: RNAcentral
AAGUGAACCAUCUCAGUACCUGAAGGAAAAGAAAGAAACCUCGAUUCCGAAAGUAGUGGCGAGCGAAAUCGGAAGAGCCCAAACCCGUAGCAUUUCGGUGUUUCGGGGGUUGUAGGGUCCGCAACAGUAGAGUUACCAAUCUGGCUGCUAGCCGAACCCUCUGGAAAGUGGGUCCAUAGAGCGUGACAGGCGCGUAGGCGAAAGUAGUCCAGACUCGAAGCGGAUACCUGAGUAAGGCGGGGCACGUGAAACCCUGCUUGAAUCAACGGGGACCAUCCCGUAAGGCUAAAUACUAGUCUCUGACCGAUAGUGAACCAGUACCGUGAGGGAAAGGCGAAAAGAACCCCGUCGAGGGGAGUGCAAAGUACCUGAAACCGUGUGCCUACAAGCAGUGGGAGGACUAUGCCCGCAAGGGAAUGUCUGACCGCGUGCCUAUUGCAUAAUGAGCCGGCUAGUUAUUCUUGUCAGCAAGGUUAAGCGUAAGCGAGCCGCAGCGAAAGCGAGUCUGAACAGGGCGUUCAGUUGGCAGGAAUAGACGCGAAGCGGGAUGAUCUACCCAUGGCCAGGAUGGAGGUGGGGUAACACCCACUGGAGGUCCGAACCGGUGUUUGUUGAAAAAAGCUCGGAUGAGCUGUGGGUAGGGGUGAAAGGCUAAUCAAAUUCCGUGAUAGCUCGUUCUCUCCGAAAUAGCUUUAGGGCUAGCCUCGGAUGAUCUGCACUGGUGGUAGAGAGAUGGAUGGACUAGGGGGCUUUCCGGCUUACUGAAUCCAACCAAACUGCGAAUGCCAGUGACAACCAGUCCGGGAGUCAGACGGUGGGGGCUAAGCCUCAUCGUCGAGAGGGAAACAGCCCAGACCGCCUGCUAAGGUCCCCAAGUUAUGGUUAAGUGGGAAAGGAAGUCGGAACGCUCAGACAGCCAGGAGGUUGGCUUAGAAGCAGCCAUCCUUUAAAGAAAGCGUAAUAGCUCACUGGUCAAGCGGUCCGGUGCCGACAAUACAACGGGGCUAAAACCAUACACCGAAGCAGCGGAUGCACAUCUUAGGAUGUGCGUGGUAGGAGAGCAUUCUCAACAGCUGCGAAGCCAGACUGAGAAGACUGGUGGAGCGUUGCGAAGAGACCCUGCCGGCAUAAGUAGCGAUAACGGAGGUGAGAACCCUCCGCGCCGAAAGUCUAAGGUUUCCUGAGGAAGGUUAAUCCGCUCAGGGUUAGGCGGUCCCUAAGUCGAGGCCGAGAGGCGUAGACGAUGGACAGACGGUUAAUAUUCCGUUCCUCCCAAUGUUCGUUAUUACGAUGGGGUGACGCAGAAGGAUAAGCAUGCCGCACUAUGGCUAUUGCGGUUGCUGCACGUAAGCUGGAUCUGACAGGCAAAUCCGUUGGGUCUUCACAGUGAGGUGCAGCACAGUCCCGAAUGGGGCUACGAUGCUGAUUUCACGCUGCCGAGAAAAACCUCUAAGGAGAACAAAGGGAACCGUACCCCAAACCGACACAGGUAGACGAGGAGAAUAUCCAAAGGCGCUCGAGUGAAAGCUUGUUAAGGAACUCGGCAAAUUGGCUCCGUAACUUCGGGAGAAGGAGCGCCCACGCAAGUGGGCCGCAGUGAAGCGCGUACGGCGACUGUUUAACAAAAACACAGGUCUCUGCUAAGUCGAAAACGACGUAUAGGGGCUGACGCCUGCCCGGUGCCGGAAGGUUAAAAGGAGAGGUUAGCGCAAGCGAAGCUUUGAAUUGAAGCCCCGGUGAACGGCGGCCGUAACUAUAACGGUCCUAAGGUAGCGAAAUUCCUUGUC